AGUGAACGCUGGCGGUAGGCCUAACACAUGCAAGUCGAACGGCGGCACAGUAAGAGCUUGCUCUUACGGGUGGCGAGUGGCGGACGGGUGAGGAAUACAUCGAAAUCUACUUUUUCGUGGGGGAUAACGUAGGGAAACUUACGCUAAUACCGCAUACGACCUACGGGUGAAAGCAGGGGAUCUUCGGACCUUGCGCGAUUGAAUGAGCCGAUGUCGGAUUAGCUAGUUGGCGGGGUAAAGGCCCACCAAGGCGACGAUCCGUAGCUGGUCUGAGAGGAUGAUCAGCCACACUGGAACUGAGACACGGUCCAGACUCCUACGGGAGGCAGCAGUGGGGAAUAUUGGACAAUGGGCGCAAGCCUGAUCCAGCCAUACCGCGUGGGUGAAGAAGGCCUUCGGGUUGUAAAGCCCUUUUGUUGGGAAAGAAAGGCAGCAGGUUAAUACCCCGCUGUUCUGACGGUACCCAAAGAAUAAGCACCGGCUAACUUCGUG
RNAcentral lists this ribosomal RNA (492 nucleotides) under uncultured bacterium. Its description in RNAcentral is "partial 16S ribosomal RNA". It matches the Rfam family "Bacterial small subunit ribosomal RNA", at positions 29 to 507 of the family's 1533-position model. The record is from RNAcentral.